Molecule: ribosomal RNA, 379 nt
Filed under: uncultured Methanosaeta sp.
Lineage: Archaea; Methanobacteriati; Methanobacteriota; Methanomicrobia; Methanotrichales; Methanotrichaceae
Description: bacterial SSU rRNA
Rfam family: Archaeal small subunit ribosomal RNA
Source: RNAcentral
UGAAGACCUUACCCGAUUAGCUGAGAGGUGGUGCAGUGGCCGUCGUCAGUUCGUACUGUGAAGCAUCCUGUUAAGUCAGGCAACGAGCGAGACCCACGUCCACAGUUGCCAGCAUACCCUCCGGGGUGAUGGGUACACUGUGGAGACCGCCGCUGCUAAAGCGGAGGAGGAGUGGGCAACGGUAGGUCAGUAUGCCCCGAAUCUCCCGGGCUACACGCGGGCUACAAUGGUUGGUACAAUGGGCAUCUACCCCGAAAGGGGAAGGAAAUCUCUUAAAGCCAAUCGUAGUUCGGAUUGAGGGCUGCAACUCGCCCUCAUGAAGCUGGAAUCCGUAGUAAUCGCGUUUCAACAGAACGCGGUGAAUACGUCCCUGCUCCUU